This 663-nucleotide ribosomal RNA is filed under the name Triticum aestivum (bread wheat). RNAcentral describes it as "partial small subunit ribosomal RNA". The record is from RNAcentral. Lineage: Eukaryota; Viridiplantae; Streptophyta; Magnoliopsida; Poales; Poaceae.
AUGCACACUCCAUGUAAUGCUUGUCAGCUUGGCCGACAACCGCGUCUCCCUUUCCCUUCCUCUAGUAGCCGCACAUAUGCUCCCUUUCUUAUUCAUUGUGACUUGUGGAUGUCACCAGUUGUAAGCUUUUCCGGCUAUCAAUACUAUUUAGUUGUGCUUGAUGAUUAUACUCAUUUUUCCUGGACCUUUCCCUUGCGCAACAAAUCUGACACCUCCACCAACUUACAAUGCUUCUUCACCUUUGUGCGUAUGCAAUACAAUGUCAUUAUCAAAGCCUUGCAAUUUGAUAACGGCAGCGAGUUCAUCAACACCUACUUGCGCACCUUUCUCUCUGCCAACAGCAUCGCUUAUCGGUUUUCAUGCCCCCACACUUCUCCCCAAAAUGGCAAGGCUGAGUGCCUCAUACGUACCACCAAUGACAUCAUAUGCACUCUUAUCCAAGCUCACUUACCCCCACCCUUCUGGGUUGAGGCGCUGCACACCGCCACACACUUGCUCAACAUACGUCCCCCUAGCAUAUUGAGAUUGAUCUCCAUUUCGUCCAUGAUCGUGUGGCUCUUGGUGAAGUUCGUGUCCUGCAUGUACCGUCCAGUUCUCAGUUUGCGGAUGUCUUCACCAAGGGCCUUCCUACACAUGUGUUCACUGAGUUUCGCGCCAGCCUAA